Non-coding RNA from Peromyscus maniculatus bairdii (prairie deer mouse), 1519 nucleotides. The record is from RefSeq and is a predicted model, not a curated record. Lineage: Eukaryota; Metazoa; Chordata; Mammalia; Rodentia; Cricetidae.
AUGCCUGAAGGGAUGGGCUGGUCAGCUCGGUCAGCAGUGCAGCGAAACCCGCUGAGCCCAUGAUCCUCCCUUACCAAACUUCUACUCGUCCCUCAAAGCCCCAGCACCGAUGCUGACCACUCCUUCUCUCCAUAGGUGUCUUGCUCAGCCCUAGCAAGUGGCCCAGGCACCUAGGGACCUACUCACCACAGGCCUUGGCCGCCUGCACACACAGAUCCUCUGCCAGGGCAGACAUCUCCAACCGAUCCAUCCACAAGCCUCCGCGUCCCAGCCUGGUCACAGGCCAGGACCCCAGGCAGGCAUGAGCAAUCAACAGCAGACACAGAAAGAGGCCUGAGCAGGAAGCAGCAGCGGUUAGGGGGAUGGGGCCAGCUGUCUUUCCCUGUGGGUCCUCAGGUCACAGGAGCUGGGGCUAGAGGCGGCUGCACCUGGUGCCAUGGGUUCCCUGUGCCCGGGUCUGUGGCCUGUGCUGUCUCCCCAACCCUUCCUGGCCUCUCCUCACCCUCCUCACCUGCACAUCCAGCCUGCACUCUGUGGGCCUCCUAGGCCUCCUAGGGGAGGUCCCCGCAGGGGCCUAGGGGAACGCGUGCUUCCCGGCCAGCCCUCCACGGGCCUCAGAGCCGGUGCGGGCAGGGGCGGGGAGAAGAGGCAGGAAACAGCCAGCAGGCCUCAGCCCUGCUACCUCUAGCCCAGGAAGGUGGCUGGGAAAGGCACUUGCGGCCAAGCCUGAAGCCAGGAGUUCCAUCCGUGAAGCCCACCACGCAGGGCUGCCCUCUGCCCGGGCACCCUUCCGUAAUGAAAGAACAAAAGCAGGCACGGUGACCCACACUUGUCGCCGCCCGACUCCGGCCAGCCUGGGCGGCAUGACACUGUGUAGGAACAACAGAUCCACAAGUAAACAGAGUUCCAGAGCCCCGGCUCAGUGGCCCAGAGCUCCGGCCGCUCCAGCACAGGACCUGGGUUCGGUCCCCACCCAGGGCGGCUCACAACCAUCUUCCGCGCUAUCGGCCCCAGCGCCCCCUUCUGGCCUCCGCGGGCACUGCACUCAUGGAGCUUAUUUCUCAGGUGGCCGAGGGCUUUAGUCCCUGCACUCGGGGGGCAGAGGCAGGCGGAUCUCUGUGAGUUCGGGACCAGCCUGGGCUACAGAGCGAGAUCCAGGACAGCUGGGGCUACAUACUGUCUCAACAAAUAAACACCCCGAACAAAAUACACAUAAAAAUAAACUAAUGCCGGGCAAGGUGGCCACAUCCGAGCGCCCACGAGGCAGAGGCAGGAGGAUCUCUGUGAGUUUGAGGCCAGCCCGUUUUAGCGCAGCCAGUGCUUCAAAUAAAGACAGUUAACCCAUUCCUGUAUGUGGUGCUACACACGUUCAAGGUCAGACCCUGUCUCAAGAAACAAACAAGGGCGGGCAGGGCGGCUGGGCGGUGGAGGCCUGGCCCAGCCUGAAGCCACCGGCAAGUUAUCCUGUGACCUCCAGAUGUGCGCACUACACUCGCACAGAAUAAAGUUAGUAAAAAUG